GUAGGUGGCAAGCGUUGUCCGGGAAUUAUUGGGGCGUAAAGCGCGCGCAGGCGGUUCUUUAAGUCUGAUGUGAAAGCCCACGGGCUCAACCGUGGAGGGUCAUUGGAAACUGGAGAACUUGAGUACAGAAGAGGAAAGCGAAAUUCCACGUGUAGCGGUGAAAUGCGUAGAGAUGUGGAGGAACACCAGUGGCGAAGGCGGCUUUCUGGUCUGUAACUGACGCUGAGGCGCGAAAGCGUGGGGAGCAAACAGGAUUAGAUACCCUGGUAGUCCACGCCGUAAACGAUGAGUGCUAAGUGUUAGGGGGUUUCCGCCCCUUAGUGCUGCAGCUAACGCAUUAAGCACUCCGCCUGGGGAGUACGGCCGCAAAGGCUG
RNAcentral lists this ribosomal RNA (375 nucleotides) under uncultured organism. RNAcentral describes it as "partial 16S ribosomal RNA". It matches the Rfam family "Bacterial small subunit ribosomal RNA", at positions 527 to 896 of the family's 1533-position model. The record is from RNAcentral.